This 274-nucleotide ribosomal RNA is filed under the name uncultured bacterium. RNAcentral's name for it is "partial 16S ribosomal RNA". It matches the Rfam family "Bacterial small subunit ribosomal RNA", at positions 523 to 796 of the family's 1533-position model. The record is from RNAcentral.
CUACGGGGGGUGCAAGCGUUACUCGGAAUCACUGGGCGUAAAGCGCGCGCAGGCGGCUUGAUAAGUUGGAUGUGAAAGCCUACGGCUCAACCGUAGAACUGCAUCCAAAACUGUCAGGCUAGAGUGUGGGAGAGGAAGAUGGAAUUAGUUGUGUAGGGGUAAAAUCCGUAGAGAUAACUAGGAAUACCAAAAGCGAAGGCAAUCUUCUGGAACACUACUGACGCUGAGGCGCGAAGGCGUGGGGAGCAAACAGGAUUAGAAACCCCGGUAGUCC